UACCACUUGCGAUAUAGGCGUAAACGGAAGGAUAAUAUUAAAAUGUUUGUAUGAUCUAGAGUAUGUGAGAAGAGUUCAACUACCGACUUUUAUGAAUAAGGAGGGCACCCCAGAAGAUCAGGCGAGCUCAUAACCGAAAAGUAUGACCCUGCAGGAAACACGUGGACCGAGAUCCCUGCCAUGAACUUCUAUUCAUGUGACUUAAACGCAGAAGUGAACGACGACACGAUCUUCGUCAUCGGUUGUUAUUACGAAACGGACACAAUCAGUGACGACAGUUACGACGACAAGGAACAUAAAUGGUACAAGGUGACAAACAAGAAUGUUUCUAGAUACUUCCUGUCGACUUGUGUCGUCAAGAACCUACCUAAUGCAAGCGAUUACGAUUAUAAACACAGAGACAAUUUAAUGAAGCAGCCAUGCGCAAAGUACAGAAAUAGGAAAAAAGUGAUAAUAUUAAUUUAGUUAGUCAUAGCUGCUUUCAGAUUUCUUCAGAACCGACUUACCAAAAAUUUAUCAUAUAAACAUAGUGACUGUCAAGUGCAAUCCUGAACAACUUCUGCUGAUUGAAAACUCUGUUGUGUAUUACAAUGAAGGGCUCUUUAAGUUAUUUUGCACCAAUUUAUUAAGAAUAACGCAUAGAAAAGUAUAAAAUGAGUUUCAUAGACAAAAGUCAAAGGAGAACUAAAGGUAAGAUUUGUUUUUGUGUUGUUAUAAACUGUCUGGAACAUUAAAAAAAUUUCAAAAUGUUAAAAACUUGAAGAAUUUAUGACUUAAUCGUAAUUUUGACAUUUUUAAAUUAUAAAUUUGAUGGUUUGCGGAAUUGUUCACAAGUUUAUA
Zootermopsis nevadensis is the source of this 840-nucleotide non-coding RNA. The record is from RefSeq and is a predicted model, not a curated record. NCBI's taxonomy places the organism in Eukaryota, Metazoa, Arthropoda, Insecta, Blattodea, Termopsidae.